This 440-nucleotide ribosomal RNA is filed under the name uncultured bacterium. Its description in RNAcentral is "partial 16S ribosomal RNA". It matches the Rfam family "Bacterial small subunit ribosomal RNA", at positions 338 to 795 of the family's 1533-position model. The record is from RNAcentral.
CCUACGGGUGGCAGCAGUGGGGAAUAUUGCACAAUGGGGGAAACCCUGAUGCAGCGACGCCGCGUGAAGGAAGAAGUAUUUCGGUAUGUAAACUUCUAUCAGCAGGGAAGAAAAUGACGGUACCUGACUAAGAAGCCCCGGCUAACUACGUGCCAGCAGCCGCGGUAAUACGUAGGGGGCAAGCGUUAUCCGGAUUUACUGGGUGUAAAGGGAGCGUAGGCGGCGAUGCAAGUCAGAAGUGAAAGCCCGGGGCUCAACUCCGGGACUGCUUUUGAAACUGUGUUGCUAGAUUGCAGGAGAGGGAAGUGGAAUUCCUAGUGUAGCGGUGAAAUGCAUAGAUAUCUCGCAGAACCCCGAUUGCGAAGGCAGCAUGCCGGCUUCCGACUGACGCUGAAGCACGAAAGCGUGGGGAUCGAACAGGAUUAGAUACCCCUGUAGUC